Molecule: ribosomal RNA, 642 nt
Filed under: uncultured Actinomycetes bacterium
Lineage: Bacteria; Bacillati; Actinomycetota; Actinomycetes
Description: bacterial SSU rRNA
Rfam family: Bacterial small subunit ribosomal RNA
Source: RNAcentral
CGCGGCCUAUCAGCUUGUUGGUGAGGUAAUGGCUCACCAAGGCGACGACGGGUAGCCGGCCUGAGAGGGCGACCGGCCACACUGGGACUGAGACACGGCCCAGACUCCUACGGGAGGCAGCGGUGGGGAAUAUUGGGCAAUGGGCGCAAGCCUGACCCAGCGACGCCGCGUGAGGGACGAAGGCCUUCGGGUUGUAAACCUCUUUCAGUAGGGAAGAAGCGAAAGUGACGGUACCUAAAGAAGAAGCACCGGCUAACUAUGUGCCAGCAGCCGCGGUAAUACAUAGGGUGCAAGCGUUGUCCGGAAUUAUUGGGCGUAAAGAGCUCGUAGGUCGUUUGCCGCGUCGAUUGUGAAAAUCUGAGGCUCAACCUCAGACCUGCAGUCGAUACGGGCAAACUAGAGUGUGGUAGGGGAGACUGGAAUUCCUGGUGUAGCGGUGGAAUGCGCAGAUAUCAGGAGGAACACCAAUGGCGAAGGCAGGUCUCUGGGCCAUAACUGACACUGAGGAGCGAAAGCGCGGGGAGCGAACAGGAUUAGAUACCCUGGUAGUCCGCGCCGUAAACGGUGGGCACUAGCUGUGAGGACCUUCCACGGUCUUCGCGACGCAGCAAACGCAUUAAGUGCCCCGCCUGGGGAGUACGG